UACGGAGGGUGCAAGCGUUAAUCGGAAUUACUGGGCGUAAAGCGCACGCAGGCGGUCUGUCAAGUCGGAUGUGAAAUCCCCGGGCUCAACCUGGGAACUGCAUUCGAAACUGGCAGGCUUGAGUCUCGUAGAGGGGGGUAGAAUUCCAGGUGUAGCGGUGAAAUGCGUAGAGAUCUGGAGGAAUACCGGUGGCGAAGGCGGCCCCCUGGACGAAGACUGACGCUCAGGUGCGAAAGCGUGGGGAGCAAAC
Molecule: ribosomal RNA, 250 nt
Filed under: uncultured bacterium
Lineage: Bacteria
Also listed under: 1 other name
Description: partial 16S ribosomal RNA
Rfam family: Bacterial small subunit ribosomal RNA
Source: RNAcentral